ACCCGCCAGCCCCGCGCUCUACCAGGCAGAGCGCGUGUGGCCGCCGAGCACAUGGACCCACUGGUCAAGCGGGCUCGGCAAGGCCAGGAUGAAGAGAAGCUACGAACUUAGCAUUCCCAGAGCCCCCCGAGUGGAUAUCCGCGUGGAAAGGAUGUUGGCAGCCCCGGUGACCUCGGAGUCACGGCUGGAUCCACCCUCUUAGAGCCGAGUUCUGUCACCACAGACAUUGGCAGUGGCACUUGCAUGCCCCUGGCAAGCAGUCUAUCCUGAGGUGGAGGAAGUUGCCCUUGAGUUCUGGCUGGUAACCAGCACAGUAUACCCUUUAAGCGUUCCAGAAGGAUUUUGAGAUCCUUUCCUAAAUCAAAGGUGGAAUAUUUGGGGAUUUGGAAAAUUGAGAUGUGAAGCGUUGACUUAAGAGAUGCCAAGUAACUCAGCAGAUGUCACACAGACGAUAAAUAGCAAAGAUGGAAGUCUUCAUGCCGGAGGCAAUCCUAUAAGACAGCUGAGUUCUGCAGAGCUGGUAGGAGACAGACUUGCUCAGGUGAUAGAUCCAGCCAUGAUACUGACCCUAAGAGAAUGAGACGCUCUGCAGAAGACAGAAGAUUCCUGAAACUGGGAAAGGUGCCUAGAAAUCCUGAUAAGAGUGAAGAAGGAGCUGGCAGAGCAGCCUUCCUCCGCACUAUGAAAGACAUCCAACAGAGAGCAAGUUCCCACCUCACUUCCAGCUUGACUCCUUUUUAUCUCCUAACUGUGGUCUGUGAUGUCUUCAGCAAUGGGUACCUGGAGGCACAGCAGCCAUGUUGAACCUAUGAGGUGAUGAAAAACCAUGCAACUAGAAACCAGAAUGGAAGAAAAGAAGAAGCUGGAUCCUUGACUGAAUUGUCGAUGGGGGAUAGUCCAUCAUCCCAGGGCUAAGACCACCUCCAGAUUUCUUGUUUGGUGAAACAAGUCCUGAUUGUUUACAUUCCCUCGUGUUGAGCUGUCUCUUGCUUGUAGCUGAAAGCAUUUCUAAUAGAUAUUCAGAUUAUCAGCCUUAGCUCCAAGCUAGAAUACUCUAUGGGACCUUAGCUUCUCCAUGAAUUCCUUUGCUCAUCUGUGUAAUGCUCAAUAAAUGUAAAUUGAACCCUGAAUGAGGGACAAUGACACUA
RNAcentral lists this long non-coding RNA (1148 nucleotides) under Mus musculus (house mouse). Its description in RNAcentral is "Pvt1 oncogene". The stretch from base 44 to 200 matches the Rfam family "Pvt1 oncogene conserved region 1". Lineage: Eukaryota; Metazoa; Chordata; Mammalia; Rodentia; Muridae. The record is from RNAcentral.